GGCUGCCGUUUCCAUCAAAACAGACGUCGCAAGAAGGACUCUUCCUCUUUUCAGACGAUCUGGGGAUUUUCUCUCUGGAACGACCGUCGCCGCCAUCACCGUCUCCCUCCCUGCUUCAUCGGUAAGCCUUUAAUUUAUAAUCUCUGAUGGUCAUCGACGUCGCACGAGAGAGCGAGAGCGAUUUUGCGGUUUCUGUUUUUCUUUUGUGUUUCGAAUAAUUUGUAGGUUUCGCAAUCGAUCUCUCGUUCUCUCUGCAAGUUAUCGAUUAUUCUUGGAAUUUCGAGCUGCAGAGCACGAAAAGGGAGGAUCUGCGAAUAGCUAUAUUGUGCUGGUUGUGUCUUGUAUCUGGUUGAUUUAUCUGUUGUUGGUCUGGUUUAGGGUUUGGUGAAUUUAGAGAUUUUGUGAAAAACUGAGAAAAUUUGAUGUUUGUUCGUGGUUGGGGUUUUAAAGGUGUCAAUUUUUGAGUUGGCAAGGGGUUUGUUUAGGGGCGAGCGUUCCAUUGAGUAUUAGGUUCUUUGUAUCUAUGGCGGCAGGAAGACAUGGAGGUUACCGUGAUAAUGAAUUCAAGGACCGUGAGUCUGAUUUGUCGAGGCGGGAGUUUGCUUUUUCAAAAGAGGAGUACAGCCUGCGGAGAAAUGGUAAUCGGGAUCAGGAGCGGGAUACAAGAGAAAAAGAUAGGGUUAGGAUUCGGCAGAAGGAUAUCAAAGAGAGAGAAGUUGUAAAUGGUGGGUACCGAUCAACUUCAAGUAGAAGUAACUCUGGCAGCAGUGGUGGAAGUGGUGGUGGGCAUAGUAGUCGCCGUGGAUUUUCUGUUAGAGCUGUUGAUCGAGAGCCAGGUGAGUUGUCUAGCGAUAGUGAGUCUGAUUAUACCAUCGACUCUGAAUCACUAGUAAAAGAUAAUAACGAGGUUUCAAAGUUAGAGAAUGACACGCGGUCACCUUUGAAUAAUAGAAAGAGGAAGUUUUCACCCAUUGUUUGGGAUAGAGAAGAUAAAGAAGUAAGCCACGCUUAUAAAAGCAAUGUUGGAAUGCCAAAUGAAACUCUUCCUCCACCUCUGCUCCCUAAGGCACAUCGCCCGUCACCUAAUCUCAUCCCAAAUGGGGUUGUACAGAGUUCUCCAAUUGAAAAUAGUCAACUCCAGAUCUCACAAGCUUCACCAGUUAAGCCUGCAGUGGCUAUGGGGUCCCAUGGGGAUGGUCUGCCUGAAUCUCCAGUAGGUUCGUCUUCUCCACAACAGCAGCAGCAGCAGCAGCACUGGGGUAAUGAUCAGGAAGCUGAUCAGCUAGAAGAUGAGUAUUAUGUUCCAACCACCAGGAAUAUAUCUGCGUCUCGUUGGGCCGAUGAAUCCAAUUCUCCAGCUGAUGAGGGUGAGAUUUCAGAUGAUGAACAAAUUCCUAAAAGGGGGAAGAAAAUUCUUCUUUCUGAGUCUUCAGAUGCAAGAUUAAAUCGCAGGCCAUUGAGUCCCGAAAUCAGGGAGCUUAAGAGAGAUGGCUCUGAUGGAACAAGGGCAAAAUCAUCUGAUUCUGAUGAAGGAGGAAUUCAUGGAGAUGAUUAUCCUGAUAAUGAUUUUGAUAAGAGUGACUAUAUGGAGAUAGAUGAAGAGUGUGAUACUAAUGGUAAUAGUGCCAACCAAUCAGAUACAGAUUGUGAGGACGAGAGUAAUUCCCGUGAUACGCCAGAGCCUGUGGUCCCUCAAAGAAGUGUAAAUAUGCUUCAGGGAUGUAGAAGUGUUGAUGAGUUUGAGAGAUUGAACAAAAUAGAUGAGGGCACCUAUGGUGUUGUCUACAGAGCUAAAGAUAAAAAGACGGGGGAAAUUGUUGCACUUAAGAAGGUGAAGAUGGAGAAAGAAAGAGAAGGUUUUCCUUUGACUUCUUUGAGGGAAAUAAAUAUUCUUCUUUCUUUUCAUAAUCCAUCAAUUGUGGAUGUGAAAGAAGUUGUAGUGGGAAGCAGCAUUGAUAGUAUUUUCAUGGUCAUGGAAUACAUGGAGCAUGAUCUCAAAGGACUUAUGGAGACAAUGAAGCAGCCAUUUAGUCAGAGUGAGGUUAAAUGCUUAAUGCUCCAGUUAUUGGAGGGUGUCAAGUAUCUUCAUGAUAAUUGGGUGCUUCACAGAGAUUUGAAAACAUCAAAUUUGCUUUUGAAUAAUCGGGGUGAGUUAAAGAUUUGUGAUUUUGGUUUGUCUCGUCAAUAUGGGAGCCCAUUGAAACCAUAUACUCAUUUGGUGGUUACUCUAUGGUACAGGGCACCUGAACUACUGUUGGGAGCUAAACAAUACUCAACAGCGAUUGAUAUGUGGUCACUGGGUUGUAUUAUGGCUGAAUUGUUAUCUAAGCAACCACUGUUUAAUGGGAAAACUGAAUUUGAUCAGCUUGACAAGAUCUUCAGAACUCUUGGUACCCCAAGUGAGACGAUUUGGCCUGGGUUUUCCAAAUUACCUGGAGUGAAGGUCAAUUUUGUCAAGCACCAGUAUAACCUAUUACGUAAAAAGUUUCCUGCUACCUCGUUCACUGGAUCUCCUGUUCUCUCUGAUUCUGGAUUUGACUUAUUGAACAAACUUCUAACUUACGACCCUGAGAAGCGGAUAACUGCCGAAGCUGCUCUUAACCAUGAGUGGUUCCGUGAAGUACCUCUUCCCAAGUCUAAAGAUUUUAUGCCUACUUUUCCUGCUCAGCAUGCUCAAGACCGGCGUAUGCGGAGAAUAAUGAAGAGUCCAGAUCCAUUAGAAGAGCAGCGUAGAAAGGAGCUGCAGCAAGGGGAGUUGGGAACGGGGGGUUUGUUUGGUUAAGCUAAUAAACAGGUGUUUGCUGGCCUUCGGUAUCAAUGCUUGAGUUUUUCAGUGCUUCCAGAUGGAAAUGGUUGAGGUGAGAAGAUGCACUGAACGGAAGUUUCAAACAUUUUUUGUCAGACGAUCAUUCAUGCUGUUUUUUUAGCAGGCAACUGGAUGAUUUCAUCUCUUCCUGAGCAGAUUUGUUGCAGGUUAACAUUGUUCACCAGCAUCCGCCAUGUAGGAAUGCUUGUGACACUUGCAUUGCAAGAGACUGUUGGUGUAAGGCGGAGGGGACGUUCUUUGCUUUUCAUUGAUGGAGAAGUUGACAGAAACAUUUGUACUUUUAAGUAUCAAAGCAAGCAGGUUGAGGAGGUCACCUGCAUUCACAAGAAUUUAUAGAACUUCCAAUUGUGUUUUCCGUUCUACAGGGAUUGAUAAGUUCCUUCUGGCUCAAUAGAGUGUUUGUUUCGCAGGAAUAGGUUUCACAUGACUUGACUGGGCUGAAUAGCAUCAACUGAGUUAGCUAUGAUCCUAUAUUCCUAUCUCAUGUUUGGCCUCCCAUUUAGAAGGGACAUGAUAAGGACAUGAGCAGAAUUUUAUUUUAUUUUGAUUUUUAUGCUAAUAAUAACAUAGUCAUGUGCCCUCAGCUGUCUGGUUGAGGGGAGGGGAACUGGCAGCUCUUGCCAUAUGUAUUAAAUGAGGAGCCGAUCGUGCUCCCCCCCUCCCUUAGCUUGUCCAGUCACUCUCUUUGGCCACGCCAACAGAGGCAAUGAGAACUUAGCCAAGCCUAUAUUGCUUUAGCCUGGGAAACAAACAUGCUGUUAGCGACUAGGAUUCCAAAUUUUGCCUGCCUUCAUGUGGUUCUAUGAUUUCCCCUUCUAUUUUGGCAGGAGUGCAAUUAGAACACAUGCCUAAUACAUUUCUAGGGACCAUUGUAAAGUUAUUUCUAGUAAUUGUGAAAUUGUGCUUCAAAAUGCUGUUAGAAUUGUUUGCAUUUA
This is an RNA transcript of Malania oleifera, 3762 nucleotides long. It is a transcript of the gene named cyclin-dependent kinase G-2, with no coding region annotated. The transcript is spliced from 9 exons. The record is from RefSeq and is a predicted model, not a curated record. Lineage: Eukaryota; Viridiplantae; Streptophyta; Magnoliopsida; Santalales; Ximeniaceae.